RNAcentral lists this ribosomal RNA (848 nucleotides) under Pseudarthrobacter siccitolerans. RNAcentral's name for it is "bacterial SSU rRNA". It matches the Rfam family "Bacterial small subunit ribosomal RNA", at positions 612 to 1454 of the family's 1533-position model. Lineage: Bacteria; Bacillati; Actinomycetota; Actinomycetes; Micrococcales; Micrococcaceae. The record is from RNAcentral.
ACUCCGGAUCUGCGGUGGGUACGGGCAGACUAGAGUGAUGUAGGGGAGACUGGAAUUCCUGGUGUAGCGGUGAAAUGCGCAGAUAUCAGGAGGAACACCGAUGGCGAAGGCAGGUCUCUGGGCAUUAACUGACGCUGAGGAGCGAAAGCAUGGGGAGCGAACAGGAUUAGAUACCCUGGUAGUCCAUGCCGUAAACGUUGGGCACUAGGUGUGGGGGACAUUCCACGUUUUCCGCGCCGUAGCUAACGCAUUAAGUGCCCCGCCUGGGGAGUACGGCCGCAAGGCUAAAACUCAAAGGAAUUGACGGGGGCCCGCACAAGCGGCGGAGCAUGCGGAUUAAUUCGAUGCAACGCGAAGAACCUUACCAAGGCUUGACAUGAACCGGUAAGACCUGGAAACAGGUCCCCCGCUUGCGGUCGGUUUACAGGUGGUGCAUGGUUGUCGUCAGCUCGUGUCGUGAGAUGUUGGGUUAAGUCCCGCAACGAGCGCAACCCUCGUUCUAUGUUGCCAGCACGUGAUGGUGGGGACUCAUAGGAGACUGCCGGGGUCAACUCGGAGGAAGGUGGGGACGACGUCAAAUCAUCAUGCCCCUUAUGUCUUGGGCUUCACGCAUGCUACAAUGGCCGGUACAAAGGGUUGCGAUACUGUGAGGUGGAGCUAAUCCCAAAAAGCCGGUCUCAGUUCGGAUUGGGGUCUGCAACUCGACCCCAUGAAGUCGGAGUCGCUAGUAAUCGCAGAUCAGCAACGCUGCGGUGAAUACGUUCCCGGGCCUUGUACACACCGCCCGUCAAGUCACGAAAGUUGGUAACACCCGAAGCCGGUGGCCUAACCCCUUGUUGGAGGGAGCU